This 1540-nucleotide ribosomal RNA is filed under the name Parabacteroides sp. AT13. RNAcentral describes it as "bacterial SSU rRNA". It matches the Rfam family "Bacterial small subunit ribosomal RNA". The record is from RNAcentral. Lineage: Bacteria; Pseudomonadati; Bacteroidota; Bacteroidia; Bacteroidales; Tannerellaceae.
CAAUUUAAACAACGAAGAGUUUGAUCCUGGCUCAGGAUGAACGCUAGCGACAGGCUUAACACAUGCAAGUCGAGGGGCAGCACAGGUAGCAAUACCGGGUGGCGACCGGCGCACGGGUGAGUAACGCGUAUGCAACUUACCUAUCAGAGGGGGAUAACCCGGCGAAAGUCGGACUAAUACCGCAUGAAGCAGGGGUCCCGCAUGGGGAUAUUUGCUAAAGAUUCAUCGCUGAUAGAUAGGCAUGCGUUCCAUUAGGCAGUUGGCGGGGUAACGGCCCACCAAACCGACGAUGGAUAGGGGUUCUGAGAGGAAGGUCCCCCACAUUGGUACUGAGACACGGACCAAACUCCUACGGGAGGCAGCAGUGAGGAAUAUUGGUCAAUGGCCGAGAGGCUGAACCAGCCAAGUCGCGUGAGGGAUGAAGGUUCUAUGGAUCGUAAACCUCUUUUAUAAGGGAAUAAAGUGCGGGACGUGUCCCGUUUUGUAUGUACCUUAUGAAUAAGGAUCGGCUAACUCCGUGCCAGCAGCCGCGGUAAUACGGAGGAUCCGAGCGUUAUCCGGAUUUAUUGGGUUUAAAGGGUGCGUAGGCGGCCUUUUAAGUCAGCGGUGAAAGUCUGUGGCUCAACCAUAGAAUUGCCGUUGAAACUGGGGGGCUUGAGUAUGUUUGAGGCAGGCGGAAUGCGUGGUGUAGCGGUGAAAUGCAUAGAUAUCACGCAGAACCCCGAUUGCGAAGGCAGCCUGCCAAGCCAUUACUGACGCUGAUGCACGAAAGCGUGGGGAUCAAACAGGAUUAGAUACCCUGGUAGUCCACGCAGUAAACGAUGAUCACUAGCUGUUUGCGAUACACUGUAAGCGGCACAGCGAAAGCGUUAAGUGAUCCACCUGGGGAGUACGCCGGCAACGGUGAAACUCAAAGGAAUUGACGGGGGCCCGCACAAGCGGAGGAACAUGUGGUUUAAUUCGAUGAUACGCGAGGAACCUUACCCGGGUUUGAACGCAUUCGGACCGAGGUGGAAACACCUUUUCUAGCAAUAGCCGUUUGCGAGGUGCUGCAUGGUUGUCGUCAGCUCGUGCCGUGAGGUGUCGGCUUAAGUGCCAUAACGAGCGCAACCCUUGCCACUAGUUACUAACAGGUAAAGCUGAGGACUCUGGUGGGACUGCCAGCGUAAGCUGCGAGGAAGGCGGGGAUGACGUCAAAUCAGCACGGCCCUUACAUCCGGGGCGACACACGUGUUACAAUGGCGUGGACAAAGGGAAGCCACCUGGCGACAGGGAGCGAAUCCCCAAACCACGUCUCAGUUCGGAUCGGAGUCUGCAACCCGACUCCGUGAAGCUGGAUUCGCUAGUAAUCGCGCAUCAGCCAUGGCGCGGUGAAUACGUUCCCGGGCCUUGUACACACCGCCCGUCAAGCCAUGGGAGCCGGGGGUACCUGAAGUCCGUAACCGCGAGGAUCGGCCUAGGGUAAAACUGGUGACUGGGGCUAAGUCGUAACAAGGUAGCCGUACCGGAAGGUGCGGCUGGAACACCUCCUUUCUGGAGC